UCGUUUCUCCCCUCCGAUAGCAUAUAUUCUAAUAAGUAAUAACUAUACUGACAUUCCCCUAUAAAAAAAUAAAUACAUCUAAAAAUAUUCUAAAAGUGAAUUUUGGAAUAUAACACGAGUUUACUUUCUAUACAUAUCAUCCAAUCAAAUCUUAUCAUCUAAAUAUGUCCUAAAUCUUAUUUCCGAAAAUACCUACACAAAUAUCAAAAUGAUAAUAUCUAAUAAAU
RNAcentral lists this long non-coding RNA (227 nucleotides) under Cicer arietinum (chickpea). Its description in RNAcentral is "long non-coding RNA (CARI_LNC000589)". The record is from RNAcentral. Lineage: Eukaryota; Viridiplantae; Streptophyta; Magnoliopsida; Fabales; Fabaceae.